CCUACGGGAGGCAGCAGUGGGGAAUAUUGCGCAAUGGGCGAAAGCCUGACGCAGCGACGCCGCGUGAGGGAUGAAGGUCUUCGGAUCGUAAACCUCUGUCAGCAGGGAAGAACGGUCACUGUGCUAAUCAGCAGUGAAUUGACGGUACCUGCACAGUAAGCACCGGCUAACUCCUUGCCAGAAGCCGCGGUAAUACGGAGGGUGCGAGCGUUAAUCGGAAUUACUGGGCGUAAGGCGCUCGUAGGCGGUAUGUCAAGUCAAGUGUGAAAUCCCCGCGCUCAACGUGGGAACUGCGUUUGAAACUGGCAAACUAGAGUGAGUGAGAGGAUAGUGGAAUUCCAGGUGUAGGAGUGAAAUCCGUAGAUAUCGGGAGGAACAUCAGUGGCGAAGGCGAGUAUCUGGCACAUAACUGACGCUGAGGAGCGAAAGCGUGGGUAGCAAACGGGAUUAGAUACCCUAGUAGUC
This 465-nucleotide ribosomal RNA is filed under the name uncultured bacterium. Its description in RNAcentral is "partial 16S ribosomal RNA". It matches the Rfam family "Bacterial small subunit ribosomal RNA", at positions 338 to 795 of the family's 1533-position model. The record is from RNAcentral.